CCUACGGGAGGCAGCAGUGGGGAAUUUUGGACAAUGGGGGAAACCCUGAUCCAGCAAUGCCGCGUGUGUGAAGAAGGCCUUCGGGUUGUAAAGCACUUUUAUUCGGAGAGAAAUCCCUUGGGCUAAUACCCUGAGGGUCUGACGGUACCGGAUGAAUAAGCGCCGGCUAACUACGUGCCAGCAGCCGCGGUAAUACGUAGGGCGCGAGCGUUAAUCGGAAUUACUGGGCGUAAAGCGUGCGCAGGCGGUUUUGUAAGACAGAUGUGAAAGCCCCGGGCUCAACCUGGGAAUUGCAUUUGUGACUGCAAGGCUAGAGUGUGUCAGAGGGAGGUGGAAUUCCGCGUGUAGCAGUGAAAUGCGUAGAGAUGCGGAGGAACACCGAUGGCGAAGGCAGCCUCCUGGGAUAACACUGACGCUCAUGCACGAAAGCGUGGGGAGCAAACAGGAUUAGAUACCCUGGUAGUCCACGCCCUAAACGAUGUCAACUAGUUGUCGGGAAUUAAAUUCUUGGUAACGCAGCUAACGCGUGAAGUUGACCGCCUGGGGAGUCGGCCGNGAAGUUAAACUUAAGGAUUGACGNUGNGNGNGCGAGCGACGACGAGGAGAG
Molecule: ribosomal RNA, 607 nt
Filed under: uncultured bacterium
Lineage: Bacteria
Description: bacterial SSU rRNA
Rfam family: Bacterial small subunit ribosomal RNA
Source: RNAcentral